UUAUAAAAUAUAGUUUACAAUGGUUAUUAAGUAACUUCCUGUCAAACUCGUCCCGCCAACCCGUCCGUAAAAAACUAUUUAUUUUAUUAAUGUUGAUCUUAUUUAUGAUAUGUUUAUGAAUUAUUGUCUAAAUAUUUUGUAAUUUUGUAGUAAUUAAAUGCUAUCAAAUAUCUCUGCGGUUUGAUGAUUAUAAUCGAAUUGUUAUAGUCAUGGAGAAAAGCAAUAUCAAAAAUGAUAAUUUUGUAGUAAUUU
Molecule: small RNA, 252 nt
Filed under: Arabidopsis thaliana (thale cress)
Lineage: Eukaryota; Viridiplantae; Streptophyta; Magnoliopsida; Brassicales; Brassicaceae
Description: ATSL107620
Source: RNAcentral